RNAcentral lists this ribosomal RNA (788 nucleotides) under uncultured bacterium. RNAcentral's name for it is "bacterial SSU rRNA". It matches the Rfam family "Bacterial small subunit ribosomal RNA", at positions 338 to 1127 of the family's 1533-position model. The record is from RNAcentral.
CCUACGGGGGGCAGCAGUGAGGAAUAUUGGUCAAUGGACGGAAGUCUGAACCAGCCAUGCCGCGUGAAGGAAGACUGCCCUAUGGGUUGUAAACUUCUUUUGCAGCAGAGCAAUAAGGCGUACGCGUACGCCGAUGAGAGUAUGUUGCGAAUAAGCAUCGGCUAACUCCGUGCCAGCAGCCGCGGUAAUACGGAGGAUGCGAGCGUUAUCCGGAUUUAUUGGGUUUAAAGGGUGCGUAGGCUGUUUUGUAAGUCAGCGGUGAAAGACCGGGGCCCAACUCCGGAAGUGCCGUUGAUACUGCAUUGCUAGAGUUCCCCUGCCGUGGGAGGAAUGAGUGGUGUAGCGGUGAAAUGCAUAGAUAUCACUCAGAACACCGAUUGCGAAGGCAUCUCACGAAGAGGCAACUGACGCUGAGGCACGAAAGCGUGGGGAUCAAACAGGAUUAGAUACCCUGGUAGUCCACGCUGUAAACGAUGAUGACUAGCUGCCGGCGAUACACUGUCGGUGGCCCAGCGAAAGCGAUAAGUCAUCCACCUGGGGAGUACGACCGCAAGGUUGAAACUCAAAGGAAUUGACGGGGGCCCGCACAAGCGGAGGAACAUGUGGUUUAAUUCGAUGAUACGCGAGGAACCUUACCCGGGCUCGAACGGCAGACGACUUAUACAGAGACGUAUAUUCCCUUCGGGGCGUCUGUCGAGGUGCUGCAUGGUUGUCGUCGGCUCGUGUCGUGAGAUGUUGGCUUAAGUGCCAUAACGAGCGCAACCCUUGUCGUUAGUUGCCAUCAAGUU